GUGGGGAAUAUUGGACAAUGGGCGAAAGCCUGAUCCAGCCAUGCCGCGUGUGUGAAGAAGGUCUUCGGAUUGUAAAGCACUUUAAGUUGGGAGGAAGGGCAGUAAGUUAAUACCUUGCUGUUUUGACGUUACCGACAGAAUAAGCACCGGCUAACUUCGUGCCAGCAGCCGCGGUAAUACGAAGGGUGCAAGCGUUAAUCGGAAUUACUGGGCGUAAAGCGCGCGUAGGUGGUUUUGUAAGUUGGAGGUGAAAUCCCCGGGCUCAACCUGGGAACUGCCACCAAAACUGCAUGACUAGAGUACGGUAGACGGUAGUGGAAUUUCCUGUGUAGCGGUGAGAUGCGUAGAUAUAGGAAGGAACACCAGUGGCGAAGGCGACUACCUGGACUGAUACUGACACUGAGGUGCGAAAGCGUGGGGAGCAAACAGGAUUAGAAACCCCGGUAGUCC
RNAcentral lists this ribosomal RNA (450 nucleotides) under uncultured bacterium. RNAcentral describes it as "partial 16S ribosomal RNA". It matches the Rfam family "Bacterial small subunit ribosomal RNA", at positions 354 to 796 of the family's 1533-position model. The record is from RNAcentral.